UACGUAGGUGGCAAGCGUUGUCCGGAAUUAUUGGGCGUAAAGAGCGUGUAGGCGGUCCGGUAAGUCCGCUGUGAAAGUCGGGGGCUCAACCCUCGAAUGCCGGUGGAUACUGUCGGGCUAGAGUGCGGAAGAGGCGAGUGGAAUUCCUGGUGUAGCGGUGAAAUGCGCAGAUAUCAGGAGGAACACCUAUUGCGAAGGCAGCUCGCUGGGACGUAACUGACGCUGAGACGCGAAAGCGUGGGGAGCAAACAGG
Molecule: ribosomal RNA, 253 nt
Filed under: uncultured bacterium
Lineage: Bacteria
Description: partial 16S ribosomal RNA
Rfam family: Bacterial small subunit ribosomal RNA
Source: RNAcentral